This 465-nucleotide long non-coding RNA is filed under the name Linum usitatissimum (flax). RNAcentral's name for it is "long non-coding RNA (LUSI_LNC007753)". The record is from RNAcentral. Lineage: Eukaryota; Viridiplantae; Streptophyta; Magnoliopsida; Malpighiales; Linaceae.
AUGAGAGGUGGAACAACCCACAAAGAUGCUCCAAAAUAGAAUAAUCCAAGUCGAUGAUCAGAGGAAUGUUGAAAAACCUGAAACAAACAUAAAAAAAGAAGAAAAGAGCACAGUACGGACAUCAACCACCACAAGCACAAGUGCUUAAUAGGAUGGAAACAAUUCCACAUCAUCACAAUAGAGUAUAUCAUGAAAGAAAAAGAAAAAAACAAAAAUCAAACACUGAAUGUCCUGAAAAGUCACAAAUAAUUCACAAUGACUAAAUCACAAAUUAAACUUUUUUGGGUGAUCUUUCAGUAAAAAGCAUUAAUUUCGGGGUGAUCACCUGAUAAGCAGACGAGGCCGUGCUGAAGACGAACCCCACCGGGAAAAUACUCCGAUUGAACGCCGUCGUUUGGCCGGUGCCAGUGUGAGAAGAGAGGUUAAAACUUGAUGAGCCGACGGCCAAGAGGGUGAAAAUGGUUG